AGCUUUCAGGGAGUGUGUUCCAGAUAUGUGGUGCGUAGUGACUAAACGCUGCUUCACCAUUUUUCGUUCUGACUCUUGGGACUGGAAGCAGACCAGUACCUGAUGACCUCAGAGGUCGAGAUUGUUCAUAAAGUAGCAGCAGAUCAGCAAUGUAUUUUGGGCCUAAACCAUUCAGUGCUUUAUAAACCAUCAGCAGGAUUUUAAAUCCUAUUAACAAACUAUAGCCAAUGUGUAGUGUGUCCCUGUCAGUGAAGUUAUAGUCUAUGAGACUAGUGGUGUCUUUUUGGUUCGAGGUGAUCUCUUUCAGCUGCUGGUGGAGCCUGCAGGCAGUCCUCUGUUGCCCGGGAAACACAGAUGGUGGAUGAAGGGCGCGCAUACAAAGGAGUAUAAUAAACCUGUGGCAGCAGCUGGAGACCGAGCACGCUCAUUAAUUCAGCUCUGUGCUCUCCUGCUUCGUCAAAGACGUCGCUGUUCUCUUUAAUACUUCCCAUCCAUUCUCUUUGUCCUGUUGUGGCUUCCGGCUCCCACUUUAUCCUGUAUUCUCCCCGGACCGGACCAGUCACUGCGCAGCUGUUGUUGGCACUCCCCACAUCUGCUCGUCUCUGCUCGGCAGCCAUACAGACACACGACGCUCCUCCGCGGCUCAUGUUAGUGCGGAGCGUGUAGUCCAGAGGGCGAGCAGCCUUUUCCUGCAGGCGGCUGACAGAGCACACACACACGGCGUGGAUGUACAGGUCAGAGAGCGUUGACUCAACAUGGACGAAAAUAGAAAAAGAAGAAGAAGAAGAAGAAGAGGAAGAAGAAGAAGAAGAAGUGAUCGUUUCUCACGGUUUGAUGCUACGGAUAGGUGCAUGUGGCGCUGAAGAUCACUGGUGACCUUGUGGUCAGUGUUACAUGGACAGUGUGGAUUCAUCCCCAGAGCUGCUGACAUAUCUGAAGUCAGAAACGAGGAGGACCCGACAGCAGGACAGGUUAUGUGUACAGGCUGAGUUUUCUUUAGUAGAACCUUGAAGGAGGCUCAGUUUCAUUGUUCAGUAGUAACAUAUAGAGGGAUAACAGUGUUACAUAUAUAACUCUAAUUGAGCCAAGACUAUGUGACUUAUAUGGUAAAGCAGUGGGUGCAUUUUAGUCCCAUUUGUCUCAAAAAAGAGGUCAAAAAUUUAAAAGGGAAGAAGUCCCUGGGGUCUCUUUGGAGAACAGUUGAGUUGCGUCCCACUUUUUCUGCUGCUUUCUGUUCUGUUUCCUCUCCAGCUACAUCGAUGGAAAAGCAGAUCAGGGCUCGCACUAGACCUCAGCAGCUGCAUCAUCGCUCCAUCGCCCUCUGCUGCACUGCUUCACAAAGAGGACCCGUCUGUAGAUUUACACCACGCUGUUGUGUCGUACUUCCUGCUGUGAUCGACGCAUGGUGCCAUUCUUGCUGUCCCGUACCCUCAGGGGAACAGGAUCAAUGUUCCCGCAACAUGAGAUGAUUUCUGAUGCAUCUGUGUUUCAGUCAAAUAGGCUUCAAGUAGAUAAAACAAUCUUUGAAAUCACUGUCAGUGCGUUCACAUCUAACAGGAAGGUGUUUCACUGGAGUCCAAAAUGAUUUACUGCAAUGUUUUCUGCUGUCUUGUGACCAAUCCUAAUAUAGCCUCAUCCACCUGCACUGUAUUUUCUUUUUGUCUGAUCAAAAACACUGCAGCAGCCAAA
This is a long non-coding RNA of Notolabrus celidotus (New Zealand spotty), 1689 nucleotides long. RefSeq lists it as uncharacterized. The record is from RefSeq and is a predicted model, not a curated record. The transcript has 3 exons. Lineage: Eukaryota; Metazoa; Chordata; Actinopteri; Labriformes; Labridae.